Long non-coding RNA from Vidua macroura (Pin-tailed whydah), 2614 nucleotides. RefSeq lists it as uncharacterized. Lineage: Eukaryota; Metazoa; Chordata; Aves; Passeriformes; Viduidae. The transcript has 2 exons. The record is from RefSeq and is a predicted model, not a curated record.
GCCGCGGUGAGGGGGAACGGGCCCCGCGGGGUCCCGGCCGCCCCUGAGGGCAGCGCGGGGCUCCCGUGACGGCGGAGGGCGCCGGUGGCCGCGGGCUGGCUCGGUGCUCUCCAGCCGUCCCGGCUGGCAGGCCGUGUGGUGAAAUCGGUCAUUCAGGGUAACACGGGCUCGCCCCAGAACGCCCACUGUGCUGGUUUUCCUUCACGGGGAGAAAGGCCGAGGCCCGGGGGUAAGCGGGGUGAUGCUGCGAAUAUCUGUGGAGGCUUCCCGCAGGUAAACACGGUGAAAUCCCAUCGUCAGGGGUUGCUCCAGAGGCGGAAGACAUUUUAGCCGAAAAACAACAUUGAACAACCGGCUAGUUUAAAAUUGUUCGAACAUCAGACAGCCUUCCUCCAGUGGAAAUAGGUGCGGGAGCUUUCAUGGAGCCGAAAAUGGAUUUAGCUCUGAGUGGUGCUCACAGAACAUGUGCCCAUCAGGUUGGACAUCAGCAAGGAUUUCUUCCCUGAAAGGUUGUCAAGCGCUGGCAUGGUGGUGAAGUCACCAUCCGUGGAGGUGUGCAAGAACCAACUGAACUGAAACACUGGGUGCUCUGCUCUGGUUGACAAGGUAGAUCCAGGUCACUCUGGUCCCUUCCAGCCUGGAUUACUGUGUGCUCCCCUGGAACUCUUCCUAACAGCUGAGGGAGCAGCCGGGGGGGGCAGGUGAUGCUCGGCAGCAGACCUGGACACUAACAGAAGUUCCUCAGAGAUCCUGGUAUUGAUAACCACAUAAGCUCUUUGUUCACCAUUGAAUGGGACCUGAUUUUCAUUUUUAAUUUCUAUGUAUCUCAUAUAUAGAGUGUGAAGCCUCCAGACUACAUCUAAGAUGACUUUUUGAUUGUACCAGCAUCACAUUUACCUCUUUCUUCCUCAAUCACAUCAUCUCAUACUCCUGUGCUGAGAACCACAUUCAGUGCACUAAAAACCACUGCCUUUAUUUUCCUUAAAUUAUUUUUUAUUUAUACUAAAACUCCUUGGUUUAGAGAAUCAGACAGUAACAGAAGGUGGCCAGUGGAAAACCUGUCUACAAAUUCUAAAUCCCCUUUCCCAGUAUUGCCAAAGACCAAGGUUUCUGAUUUGGCUCAUGACCAGCAAGCACAAGCUCACAGGCUACAAAUCAGGCUCAGCAAAGGGGGGAUGGGGUUUGCUCUCAACACAAGACAAAUAUAAUGGAAUCUAGGAACAGGCAAAAAGCUAAAUUCCAUGCUUAAUUAUAGUUGUGGAUAAAUUUAAUUCAAAAUUAUACUGCUGAUUAUACUAGGUACAGCUCUCUACAGCUUUCCAAAGGAGAAAAUUCUGUCCGUGAAUUUUGAAUCCUACUGUUGAAUUAGAAGUUUGGGAAAGUUAAAACAGCAAAAACACCCCACACCCCAAAAAGAGACAGAUGGCUGUCACAGAUAGGCUAUAAUCACAUGCCAGCACCUCCCACUGUGCCCUACAUAUCGUACAACGAACCUCCCCAGCCACUCCAGAUGCUUCCCGUUAUCUGUUGUGAACAAGCAGCUGCUGCAGCGGCAAUAGCCCAAGUGCUGUGAGUCAGUCAGUAUUAAUGGCACAAAACCCCUAUCCCUGGCUAAAGCUGCGAGGCAAAAACAAGAUUGCUUACAAAAGGUGUGGCCCAAUUUCAAUUGUUCUGCACACAGGUAAUGGUUGCACUGCAAAUACUCCUAAAGCUGAGCAUUGCUCCCCCGAGCGCAGGGAAUCACACCAUGUAUCAGCCACAGGUAAAUUACAAUUAAGGGCCUUUGACCACUGAGAACGUGAAGGAGGAAGGGAGCAGAUUAACACCAAAGCAAAUACCUGAAAAGAUUGGAGCAACUGAGCUUGAUUUAAUGCUUAAUCAGAUCCAGAAGAGCCCUGACCUACAUAUUGACAGCAUCCCUGGGCUGCAGGCGCAGCCAGUUGAGCAGCCAUGCAGCCACAGGGGAAGAGAGUUUAACAUGCUGAAUGUGAGGAAGCAGCCUCCUGGAUGCAGCCCUGCAUCUGCUCCACAGCCUCACAUUCCACUUUGACAGAGAAACAGGAUUUUUUUUAGCUGCUGGUGGUGAUUUAUAGACUACGGAGGUAACACACUGAUUAUUUUUCAAUACAAAUGUGAUGUGGCAUUGUCAAAGGCUAAUGACAAUCAGGCUUGAAAGAGCUCAGCUUUGCUCCAUCAACAAGUUGGAAAAAUCCACAGAAGUCAUCCUGAAUUCACUGAACCAAGGAGAGCAAGCCAGGGAGAGAGCCAGGUAUGACCAUGGAAUCUGAAAAAGAACCUAAUCUACAUGUAGGGGAGAAUGAGACUUGCUGCAAAAAUCAUCCCUUCUUUUCAGGAAUACAAAAGAUGAAGAACAUUUUUUAAAACAAGCAGCCACAUCAAGUUUGAAAAUAAUUGAACUGAUUGGUUCAGUGUAAAACCAGAAAACAUCAGAAUUAUUCAUGUGAGAGAGAUGGUAGAAGGACACUGGCGAGCUCAAAGGCCUGGGCCACUGUUUUUUAAAGCAGUCUUGGAACAAUGCAGCAGCAAAAGAGGAAAAUUCUUGUUCUCAGUACAAGUCUGAAAAAGCUAAUUAUAUAAAAAGCUAAUUACUGCA